UAGAUAUUAAGUUAAUUAAACUAUGUGUUUCAUGUGCACAAAUUGUUGUAUUUAAGUUACGCAUAUCUUU
Molecule: transfer RNA, 70 nt
Filed under: Schistosoma haematobium
Lineage: Eukaryota; Metazoa; Platyhelminthes; Trematoda; Strigeidida; Schistosomatidae
Also listed under: 1 other name
Description: tRNA-Met
Source: RNAcentral